Molecule: ribosomal RNA, 515 nt
Filed under: Creolandreva chaloupensis
Lineage: Eukaryota; Metazoa; Arthropoda; Insecta; Orthoptera; Gryllidae
Description: partial small subunit ribosomal RNA
Rfam family: Bacterial large subunit ribosomal RNA
Source: RNAcentral
GUUUUCAUGUAAGUAUAUGAAAUUGUACCUGCUCACUGAAUAUUAAAGAGCCGCGGUAAUUUGACCGUGCAAAGGUAGCAUAAUCAUUAGUCUUUUAAUUGGAGGCUGGAAUGAAUGGUUUGACGAAAUAACAUCUGUCUUGUUAUGAAGGAUUGAAUUUUACUUUUAAGUUAAAAGGCUUAAAUUUUGGAAGGGGACGAGAAGACCCUAUAGAUCUUUAUAAGUAUAAAAUUUUAUGUUGGAUGGUAAGUUUAAUGUGGAAAUGAAUGUAAGAAUUAAUACUUAUUUUGUUGGGGUGACAGAAGAAUAUAAUAACUUCUUUUAAUAUGUACUUUAAUGAAUGGAUAUAUGAUCUUUUAUUAUGGAAUUAAGAUUAAGAUACCUUAGGGAUAACAGCGUAAUUUUAUUUGAGAGUUCUUAUUGACAAUAAAGAUUGCGACCUCGAUGUUGGAUUAAGAUUAUAUGUUAAUGUAGUAGUUAACUGUAUUGGUCUGUUCGACCAUUAAAUUCUUACA